Molecule: ribosomal RNA, 500 nt
Filed under: uncultured bacterium
Lineage: Bacteria
Description: partial 16S ribosomal RNA
Rfam family: Bacterial small subunit ribosomal RNA
Source: RNAcentral
GAUGAACGCUAGCGACAGGCCUAACACAUGCAAGUCGAACGGCAGCACGGGAGCAAUCCUGGUGGCGAGUGGCGAACGGGUGAGUAAAGUAUCGGAACGUGCCCAGUCGUGGGGGAUAACGGAGCGAAAGUUACGCUAAUACCGCAUACGAUCUAUGGAUGAAAGCGGGGGAUCGCAAGACCUCGCGCGAUUGGAGCGGCCAAUGUCAGAUUAGGUAGUUGGUGGGGUAAAGGCUCACCAAGCCGACGAUCUGUAGCUGGUCUGAGAGGACGACCAGCCACACUGGGACUGAGACACGGCCCAGACUCCUACGGGAGGCAGCAGUGGGGAAUUUUGGACAAUGGGCGCAAGCCUGAUCCAGCAAUGCCGCGUGCAGGAAGAAGGCCUUCGGGUUGUAAACUGCUUUUGUACGGAACGAAAAGGCUCUGGUUAAUACCUGGGGCUCAUGACGGUACCGUAAGAAUAAGCACCGGCUAACUACGUGCCAGCAGCCGCCGCAG